RNAcentral lists this ribosomal RNA (476 nucleotides) under Promethes melanaspis. RNAcentral's name for it is "eukaryotic LSU rRNA". Lineage: Eukaryota; Metazoa; Arthropoda; Insecta; Hymenoptera; Ichneumonidae. The record is from RNAcentral.
CCUGAGAAACCCAAAAGAUCGAAUGGGGAGAUUCAUCGUCAGCGUUAUUGGUACGUGUGCGGUUCGCGAUGCCGGAGACCUCGGUCCCGUGGCACGCGUCCGCAUGUUUUUAUUGCCUGGUAACGUCGGCGUGCACUUCUCCCCUAGUAGGACGUCGCGACCCGUUGGGUGUCGGUCUACGGCCCGGGUGGUUGCCUGUCCCGUGUGCGCUUCACGGCGUCACUGCGGGGCAGACCCCCGGUUGCCCGACCGGCUGCCCGGCGGUACUCGCAAGGUAUCUGGCCGCAAAUAUUCGAACUGCGUCCGGCCCGUCGCAAGCGAGGAAAGUGUUUCCCGGAUGUACGGAUCUAACGCCGUCGUCGGGCCUGGCCCGSUGUUGGUUGACGGUGUCCUAGGACUGGCUAUAACAAUUAUGAUACCGGUCAGCGACGCUACUGSUUUGGGUACUNUCAGGACCCGUCUUGAAACACGGACCA